This 396-nucleotide ribosomal RNA is filed under the name Tethocyathus endesa. Its description in RNAcentral is "partial large subunit ribosomal RNA". It matches the Rfam family "Bacterial large subunit ribosomal RNA", at positions 2003 to 2454 of the family's 2925-position model. Lineage: Eukaryota; Metazoa; Cnidaria; Anthozoa; Scleractinia; Caryophylliidae. The record is from RNAcentral.
CACAAGGGUCUCACUGUCUUAAGGGAAUUUCCAGUGAAAUUGAAUUUGUAGUGAAGAUGCUACAUCCAAAUUGUUAGACGAGAAGUCCCCAUGGAACUUUACUGGAAACUUAUGUGGCUUAAAUAGUUUUAAAAUGUGGUGUACCUUCGGGUUAACUGGGGUUAAAGCUCACUCUUUUAUUUUAAGAAAGCCAACUCAAAGAUUUAUGUGUUUGGGAUUUGAUAAGUGGGACAGUUUGGUUGGGGCGACCGCCUUUAAAAAAGUAACGAAGGCGGGCUUAAGAUAUAUAUUUAGUUAUGUCUGACUGCCAAGGGGGAGUCCUGAGCAGACACUUAUCUUUGGAUUGGUGGGCUUAAGUGACCCGUUGAUUUAGGGUGAAAUAGUUAACGAUAAACA